This 5965-nucleotide long non-coding RNA is filed under the name Olea europaea subsp. europaea. The record is from RNAcentral. Lineage: Eukaryota; Viridiplantae; Streptophyta; Magnoliopsida; Lamiales; Oleaceae.
CAAUAUUCACCACAACAACUUGCAAUUAAAGAUAACUAGAAGGAACUAACAACCCAAGCUGUGAUUGUAUUAACAAAAUAAGGUUAUAGUAAAGAAGAAAGACGGAGAGAAGUAGCAGAGAAAUUGGGGAAGAAGAAAGAGGUACAAUUUCUGACAAAUACCAAUCUGCCUGACUUACUUUCCCUCCCUCAGUUAAGUACAAGUACAAUAAGAGACGUGUUUUAUAACAAAAAACGUAUGCUUCCAUAACAAAAUAUACGAAUGAAUCGGCGUCGCUCCUUUCACCCUUUAAUUGCCGGUUAAUUCCGUUUGCUUCUUUCCUUCUUUCCCCCAGCUGAUAUCUGGCUUGAAGUGUUUUUCUUCCUCAUCACAUACCUCCUCCUCAAAACGACCUUGUCUGCAAGGUUGGAAAAGAGGAAAUUCGUUCUGAAUUGCAGUUGCAUCUUCCCAAGUGGCCUUAUCCCUGUCAUAGCCUUUCCACUAAAUCAGCCAUUGUGUCACUGCCUGCUUAUUUCUCUGGAUCAUUCUGGUUUCCAUUACCGUUUCAGGUUCUUUGUAGAUCAUUUCCUAUUCCCCGCUCUCUGGUAGUGACAAGAUAGGUACCUCAUGUUCUCUUAUUUUUUUUCUUAAGUAAAGAUACACGGAAUACUGGGUGUAUUUUUGAAGUAUGGGGUAAGAUCAAAUCAUACGCCACUUGGCCAAUCAUUCUGAUGAUUUUGUAAGCUCCAUAGUAUUUGGCAGCUAGCUUUUGAUUAGUCCUUGUCAUAGCAGAAUUUUGCUCGUAAGGAUGUAACUUCAAAUACACCCAAUCACCCAUUGCAAACACUUUCUACUCUGUGCUGGUCAGCAUAAAAUUUCAUCCUUGCUCGGGCUUGAGCAAGAUGUUCUUUUAGAAACAGGUCCAUCUGAUUCCUCUCUUGCACUAGUUCUUCCACUGCAGUCGCUUUCGUUUGCUGAUGAGGUUCCAAUGCCAAAUGGGGUGGUUUAAUACCAUAUAGGGCUUCAAAGGGACUCAUUUUAAUUGCUAUGUGGUAGGUAGUAUUAUACCACCAUUUAGCCUGUGAUAACCAGUCAAUCCAUCUCCUAGGUUGGUGGAAUGUCAUGCACCUCAAAUACAUUUCCAAACACUGGUUAAGCCUCUCAGUUUGCCCGUCCGUUUUUGGGUGAUACGUAAAGCUCUGGUGCAGGUUGGUUCCCAUCAAUUUGAACAGCUCCUGCCAAAACCCACUAGUGAAAAUCUUGUCCCCGUCUGACAUAAUACUUUAAGGCAUUCCAUGGAGCUUAUAGAUGUUAUCAAGGAAGACUUUAGCUACUGUAAUUGCAGAGAAGGGAUGGGAUAAGGCUAUGAAGUGCCCGUAUUUAGUAAAUCGGUCCACCACUAUCAGGAUAACUGAUUUCUUUUUUGAAGAGGGCAGGCUUUCAAUAAAAUCCAUGGAUAUGUGGCUCCAUGAAUAUUGUGGUUCAAGCAGAGGUUGUAGCAGGCCAGGGUGGGGAACAUGUUCUCCCUUGCAUCUUUGACAAACAUCACACUAAGUAUCUCCCUCUUGAUAUCUCCAAUCAUCCCUGGCCAAUAAAAGUGUUGCUUAGCCUUGAAUACACUAGCCUGAAUACCAGAGUGGCCUCCAUUUUGGGAAGAAUGGAUAUUUUGAAUCAACUUGGCCUUUAUCUGACCUCCAGAUCCCACAUAUAUCUUGCCUUUAAAUUUGAGUAACCCAUUGUGAUAGGAAAAUUUAGAGUCUUCAUUGGGUUUAAUCAACAAUUCCUCAAUAUGAUUUUCAACCAUUGCAUCAUCUUGGUAGCUGCUUACCACUUCCUGUAUCCAAAUGGGUGUUACAUUAGAAAUUGCCACCACUUCCAUAGAUGAUUCUUCUCUCCUAGAAAGAGCAUCAGCCACAACAUUAUCCACCCUUUUCUUGUACUGGAUCUCAUAGCUGAGUUCUAGUAGUUUAGUCAACCAUUUCUGUUGAAUGGAUGUAGUUAUCCUUUGCUCUAGCAAGUACUUUAAUGACUGAUGAUCUGUUUUGAUGAUGAAAUGAUGUCCCUUCAGAUAAUGCCUCCACUUUCUCCCCACAGUAACUAAUACCAGAAGUUCCUUCUCAUAGAUGGACAUUCCUAGUUUCUCAUUGCAAAUUCCUUUACUGAAGUAGGCAAUUGGUCUUCUAUUUUGCAUUAAGACAACUCCCACACCUCCAUGGCAAGCAUCAGUCUCAAUGAUGAAUGGUUGAGUAAAAUCUGGUAAAGCUAAAAUUGGGGUGCUACACAUUGCUGAUUUCAAUUUCUGGAAGGCCCUAUUUGUCAUUUCAUCCCAUGUAAAUUUAUCCUUCUUCAGUAAAUCCGUCAAAGGUCUUGCAAGAACUCCAUACCCUUUUACAAACUUUCUGUAGUAUCCUGUCAACCCGAAGAACCCCCUUAGUUGCUUGAUAGUAAUGGGAGUCGGCCAUUGCUCCAUUGCACUGAUUUUAGUAGGGUUAGCUGCCACUCCCAAUAUCGAGAUAAUGUGACCCAGGUACUCCACUCUAGAUUGCCCAAAUGAACACUUAGUCCCUUUAACAUAUAGUUGUUGCUCCUUCAAUACCUCUAGUACUCUAGCUAAGUGUUGACAAUGGGAUAUCAAGUCACAGCUAUAGACCAAUAUGUCAUAAAAAAAAAAACUAAGACAAACUUCCUCAAAUACUUCUUGAAAACUUCAUUCAUCAAGCAUUUGAAUGUGGCUGGAGCAUUAGUGAGUCCAAAGAGCAUGACUUUGAACUCAAAUAAGCCAUGGUUUGUCUUAAAUGCUGUCUUACAUAUGUCACUUUCAGUGACUCUAAUUUGAUGGUACCUAGCCCUCAGGUCAAUUUUGGAAAACCACCUAGCACCCUGUAAUUCAUCAAGUAAAGGUAUGUGAUAUUUAUAUUUGAUCGUGAUGCUAUUUAGUUGCAAGUAAUCCACACAGAACCUCCAUGUUCCAUCCUUUUUUUUUAACCAAUAACAUCGGGGAGGCAUAUAGGCUAUUACUUGGCUGGAUGAUCCCAAUCUCUAACAUUUCUUUCGCCAUUUUUUCCAUUUCUGUUUUCUAUAUAUAUGGGCACCUGUAGGGUCUUAUUCGAAAAGGUUGAGCUCCUUCCUUCUGUUGAAUCUUAUGGUCAUUGAAUCUAGGAGGUGGCAUCCCUUUUGGCUCUUCAAAUGCAUCCAAAUACUGUUUGAUGAGGUGAUUCCUUUUCACCUUCUGUCACUGAAUGAAUUUGAACCACGAUCCCAUAGGAUUGUUUUUGGACCCACUGGUCCAUAUUUUCCCUUUCUAUCAUCAAAAUUUCAUUCUUUCCCAACUCACUCUUUAGUUCAACUUCCAUUCACUUGUAACAAAAUUUAAUGCUGCUUUGUUCGAAAUCAAAUAUGACCAGGUUAAACUGGCUUAACCAAUCUACCCCCAACACCAUAUCACUCCCUCCCAACUUCAGCAUCCUCAACUGGAAUUGGCAUUCCAUUCCUUGCAUGGUCCAAUUCAGUGGAUUACACAUAGCACUACUUCACAGUUUAUUCCCAUUGGCUACAGUUACUGCCACAGCUGGAGUGACCUCUACUUUGCAUCUCAACUCCUGCACUAAUUUUUCAUUGAUGAAACUGUGAGUGCUACCACUAUCAAUGAGGAUAGAGACCUUCCUUCUCAUGAUCUGUCCUAGAAUCCUAGUGGUCUUAAAUUUCAGACUCCCGGAAAGGGCAUUGAUAGAAAUCUCCAUAAUCCCUUCUUCCUCUUCUUCUUCAUAAGUUUUUGAUAAUUUUCCUUCGUCGUCUACCUUCAUCUCUUCCUCAUCAAUCAGCAUAAAAUUAAGCAUUCUAUUCUUGCAUGUGUGUCCUGGGGUGUAUUUCUCAUCACACCUAAAACAGAGUCCCAAACUCUUUCUGGUUUGAAUGUUGAAAGGGGUAAUGGUUUUAAACUUCAAUGGACGUGUUUGAUUUUUUUGGCUUGGGUCAGUGCUGAUGUUAGGCAAGUGUUUGAGGUUACUAUCAGGAGGUUUUUAGGGGUAUAUUGGACCAUUUGGGUUGAUAGUUGGUUUGGAGUGGAGUUUUGAGGUUUUAUUCAAGACAUUCAUAGUGUUUUCUUGUAAAAUGGCUAUUUCAAAAGCUUGGGAUACAAAAGUUGGUCUGACAAUUUUUAACUAUGGAUUUAAUUUCUUCAUUUAAUCCACUGGUGAAUAUAGAAAUGUAAUAGGAUUAUGGGAGGUGAGGUAAUGAAAGCAUAACUUGAGACUUGAGAUCCUCAAACAACUCCUGAUACUGAGCCACACUUUCCUUCUGCCUGAUUUUACUGAAAACUUCAAUGAUUUCCUCUGCUGUAGAUUCAGCAAACCUUCUACAAAUCUCGGUUGAGAAUAAACUCCAAUCAGCCCUAGGGUUAUUAUUGAUGAACCCAUGAAACCACACAUCUGCCCUUCCUUUUAGAUACAUCUCUGCAAUGUUGACUCUAAUUCCAUCUGGCACUUGGUGGAUUUGAAAGUAUUUUUGCGCCUUCCUCAACCACUCCCUUGGACCCUCCCCAUUGAAAUAAGGAAAAUCGAUCUUGGGUAGCUUCACUCCCAGUCUCCUAUCUCCCUUAUCCAUACUACUCUCAGAUGUUAUACCUAUUUUUUGUGUGAGUAGCCCUUCGCUGAUCGUGGAGUUUUCGGAUGAUCCUACCUUAUGUUUGUCCUUGGGUUCUCCCCUUUGCCCGCUCCAUUGUGCCAUCAUUGCAACCAAGGAUUCAUAUUUAGAAUUCAUCUAACUCAUUAUCGCCUCCAUUCUAUCAUGUUUAUUACACAGAUUCUGUAAGUUUUGAUGCAGAUUUCCCCACCUUAACACCGACAUUCUUUAAAAGCUUCUCCCAAGUCUUCCACAUCUCUGUCUAAUUUCUUCAGAUGUUCCUCUACUGCCUUGGCCCUAGUAUCCAUACCCAGAAUUUUUUAUGCUCCGAUACCACUUGUAAUGGUUGGGUUGAACUUCAACCAAAACCGACCAAUAUUCACCACAACAACUUGCAAUUAAAGAUAACCAGCUGGAAUUAACAACCCAAGCUGUGAUUGUAUUAACAAAAUAAGGUUACAGUAAAGAAGAAAGACGGAGAGAAGUAGCAGAGAAAUUGCGGAAGAAGAAAGAGGUACAAUUUUUGACAAAUACCAAUCUGCCUGCGUUACUUUCCCUCCCUCAGUUAAGUACAGUAAGAGAUGUGUUUUAUAACAAAAAACGUAUUCUUCCAUAAAUAUACAAAUGAAACGGCGUCGCUCCUUUCACCCUUUAAUUGCUAGUUAAUUCCGUUUGCUUCUCUCCCCCGCUGAUAUCUGGCUUGAAGUGUUCUUCCUCAUCACAGCAAGUUGCAGGGCUGAAAGUUAAUUAGACAUAUUGGGUGCAGGAUGUGCCUCUAUCCCCUUACCAAAUUCUCUGAUAUUUUCUAUGGUGUAAGAUAUUGUAGUAGAUGCUAUAGUUGAAAGAAAAAUAAUUAGCCGUCUUUGCAACAAUGGCUAUGUGCGCCAUAUGUUUCUAUUUACUUGAUGACUUGAAAUUUUUUAUUAGACUUUUGGUGUAGGUCAUCUUUUGUUCAUCAACCUAUGGUGCUAUACUUUUGGAGGGGUGCUACAGGUACAACAUAUUUGACAGCAUCACAUUAGUGAGAAAGCUUGCGUUUCAUUCUUUCUGCAAUCAGUCGUCCAUGAUCUGUCGUUUGUGCUGUUAAUUGUACAUGUGUACAGUGUUGAUUUUUUUUUUUUUUUUUUUUUUUUAAAAAAAAAGUCCAACUUGCAUACUGUUGUGUACUGGUAAUCAUAAAAUUGAUAUGUAGGUUACGGUUCAUAAAGUGUAUUUUGCAGAGGAAAUAUUUUUUGUCUUAAAGUUUGACUUCAUAUUUUUGAAAUUAAAUUGUAGAACAAUUCUCUAUGAAGAAUUGUGUGAAUGUUUGAUGAGUUUUACAUGUCUAAUUGCUCUCCUUAUUGUGUCUAAGUAAUUUGGAGGUGCA